GUCUUUAGAUAUGAAGUCCUUGGUCUAUUUGAAGGACUUUGAGGUCAAGGUCAAAGGUCAAGGUCAUGUUAUAAAUUUUGAAUUUUGCUUGUUAUCGUUAUUCAAAAGAAACUGUUACAGUUAAUGAAAUGAUAUGUUUGCCAAAUUACUGUUUACAAUAAGGCGCAACUUCAACCUAUUCAGUCGAAGUGUUUUGGUUAACCCUUAUAGGAGUUUUCUCCCCUUAUAUAUUUGAAAUCAUUAUUUCUCCACAACCAUACAAGUGAUUGACCUCGGGCCUUUCGAUUUGAGUUCCCUGACAUAUGACAUUGAAUUUGAGGUCAAGGUUGAAGGUCAAGGUCAUAUUCAAAAUUUGUGGAUUUUGCUUGUAAUCUAUAUUCAAAAGAAACUGUAACAGUUAAUGAUAUGAUGUGUUU
RNAcentral lists this long non-coding RNA (416 nucleotides) under Mytilus galloprovincialis (Mediterranean mussel). Lineage: Eukaryota; Metazoa; Mollusca; Bivalvia; Mytilida; Mytilidae. The record is from RNAcentral.